This 79-nucleotide non-coding RNA is filed under the name Chromera velia. Lineage: Eukaryota; Chromeraceae. The record is from RNAcentral.
UUGUUUGCUUCUCUUUUUCUUCCUUUCUCUAUGUCCUUUUUUCUUCUUUCUUUUCUCCUCCUUUCCUUGUUUGUGAUUG